Molecule: ribosomal RNA, 254 nt
Filed under: uncultured bacterium
Lineage: Bacteria
Description: partial 16S ribosomal RNA
Rfam family: Bacterial small subunit ribosomal RNA
Source: RNAcentral
UACGGAGGGGGCUAGCGUUGUUCGGAAUUACUGGGCGUAAAGCGCACGUAGGCGGCUUUGUAAGUCAGAGGUGAAAGCCCGGAGCUCAACUCCGGAAUUGCCUUUGAGACUGCAUCGCUUGAAUCCAGGAGAGGUGAGUGGAAUUCCGAGUGUAGAGGUGAAAUUCGUAGAUAUUCGGAAGAACACCAGUGGCGAAGGCGGCUCACUGGACUGGUAUUGACGCUGAGGUGCGAAAGCGUGGGGAGCAAACAGGG